Molecule: long non-coding RNA, 613 nt
Filed under: Homo sapiens (human)
Lineage: Eukaryota; Metazoa; Chordata; Mammalia; Primates; Hominidae
Description: long non-coding RNA NONHSAT160385.1
Source: RNAcentral
GGAAUCGCGACUAUGGGAGCUCCGGGGGGAAAGAUCAACCGGCCCCGAACGCUGAAGAAGAAGCUGUUCAAACGCCGGCGGGUGUUGAAUCGGGAGCGGCGUCUGAGGCACCGGGUGGUCGGGGCUGUGAUAGACCAAGGGCUGAUCACGCGGCACCACCUCAAGAAGCGGGCGUCCAGUGCACGUGCCAACAUUACACUGUCAGGGAAGAAGCGCAGAAAACUCCUCCAGCAGAUCCGGCUUGCCCAGAAAGAGAAGACAGCCAUGGAAGUGGAAGCCCCUUCAAAGCCAGCCAGGACUAGUGAACCACAGCUCAAAAGGCAAAAGAAGACAAAAGCCCCCCAGGAUGUAGAAAUGAAGGACCUUGAAGAUGAGAGCUAAACCUCUUCCACUAGAAGAUUCUCAACUGGAGCCAGCCUUCAGACUCAGUGGUUGUUUCAGAGGACUUUGACAAAAGCAAGGCCCCUUUUCACUCUCCAGAUUUCCUCCUACCUAAUGGCCUACUGACCUCCCCUAGAGGGAUGUCUUUGGGAGGGAAGAAGGUACAGAAGAAAGAUUGGAGAAGGGCCUCUCUAGCAGUCAACUCCAUUUGUAAUAAAGCCCUAGCACUCUG